GAUGAAGAACGUAGCGAAAUGCGAUAAGUAAUGUGAAUUGCAGAAUUCAGUGAAUCAUCGAAUCUUUGAACGCACAUUGCGCCCCCUGGUAUUCCGGGGGGCAUGCCUGUCCGAGCGUCAUUACAACCCUCAAGCUCAGCUUGGUAUUGGGCCCCGCCGACCCGGCGGGCCCUAAAGUCAGUGGCGGUGCCGUCCGGCUCCGAGCGUAGUAAUUCCUCUCGCUCUGGAGGUCCGGUCGUGUGCUCGCCAGCAACCCCCAAUUUUUUUCAGGUUGACCUCGGAUCAGGUAGGGAUACACGCUGAACUUAAGCAUAUCAAUAAGCGGAGGA
This 329-nucleotide unclassified non-coding RNA is filed under the name soil metagenome. Its description in RNAcentral is "partial contains 5.8S ribosomal RNA, internal transcribed spacer 2, and large subunit ribosomal RNA". The stretch from base 1 to 120 matches the Rfam family "5.8S ribosomal RNA", at positions 35 to 154 of the family's 154-position model. The record is from RNAcentral.